UGGGGAAUAUUGCACAAUGGGGGAAACCCUGAUGCAGCGACGCCGCGUGAGCGAUGAAGGCUUUCGAGUCGUAAAGCUCUGUCCUAUGGGAAGAUAAUGACGGUACCAUAGAAGAAAGCCCCGGCUAAUUACGUGCCAGCAGCCGCGGUAAUACGGAAGGUUCGGGCGUUAUCCGGAUUUAUUGGGUUUAAAGGGAGCGUAGGCCGUUUGGUAAGCGUGUUGUGAAAUGUAGGAGCUCAACUUCUAGAUUGCAGCGCGAACUGUCAGACUUGAGUGCGCACAACGUAGGCGGAAUUCAUGGUGUAGCGGUGAAAUGCUUAGAUAUCAUGAAGAACUCCGAUUGCGAAGGCAGCUUACGGGAGCGCAACUGACGCUGAAGCUCGAAGGUGCGGUAUCGAACAGG
Molecule: ribosomal RNA, 403 nt
Filed under: Verrucomicrobiota bacterium
Lineage: Bacteria; Pseudomonadati; Verrucomicrobiota
Description: Verrucomicrobia bacterium partial 16S ribosomal RNA
Rfam family: Bacterial small subunit ribosomal RNA
Source: RNAcentral